Dendronephthya gigantea is the source of this 469-nucleotide long non-coding RNA. RefSeq lists it as uncharacterized. The transcript has 5 exons. The record is from RefSeq and is a predicted model, not a curated record. NCBI's taxonomy places the organism in Eukaryota, Metazoa, Cnidaria, Anthozoa, Malacalcyonacea, Nephtheidae.
UGAACAUUCCAGUGUUCCAAGAGAUCAGAAAACUGCCAGGGAGUGAAGUUUCAAGGAAAAAAGAGGAAGUUUGUUUUGAAUGCAGAGAUGAACCACAGCGUCAUUCAUGCUGUUCAGAAAUCUGGUCAGAUCUCAGUUGACGCAACUUACAAUGCGAAUGAUAGUUUGACGAAAGUGAAACUGACACAGGAUGACGAAGAUGAAGAUGGUGAAUCUCAACAAUCAGGCAAGCAAAGUUUCUUCUUUGUUUAUUGUAAAACUUGCAAGAAACUAACACAAGGAAAAUUGCGAUGUCGAUGUUCAAAUUGCAAGGAAGGAAGCUUUGUUCUAUCACAGGGUCCAAAUGGUUGGGACGAUGUAUUGAUCAAAGGCCGAAUGCAGGGACAAUGUGAAUCCAAUACAAACUGUCAGGGAAAAACAGCUGAAUUUUAUUUCAAAUGUGGGAAACGUCAUGGUAGAUAUGAACAAG